AGAAUCAACAGUAACACGAUUGACAGAGGUAAAUCGAGUUCGCAGCAUCCGGGAUGUACGACAGGCGUCGCGCUGUAACAACCCUUUCACUGGAGGAGCGACGCUUCGGGGAGCCUCGAACUAAUCAUCGACUUCCCACAUCUCGGAUAACGGCACAGAGAGAAAGAGAGAGAUGGAGAGAGAAGAACCGACAAAGAGAGAGAGACAGUUGUAUUUACGAUGUAAUCGCACUUCUCGAUGGAUUCGCGUGUUGACCCGUGCGCGAGGAACAGGUCAAGAUAGUAGGGGCUGAAGGUGUGCGCGCGCCCCUUUCAUGAUCUACGCAGCGGUUUGUGUUUCCUAAGGGCGCACAUUGGAUUGACUGUCCUCAUGCGCCGCGAGGCUGCGAGUGCGCAGGUUUCGAGCGCGGCCGUUUUGGUCUUGUGCCAGGGUGAGGAUCGAAAUCCCGUAGUUUGCAUGAGCGGCGCCGGGAAUAACCAGUCGAUAAACCGAGACGCGGCUGCGCCCGAGUGAUCGCGCCGAAUCGCACACGUACCCCGCGUUUCUGAAAGCGCAAACGUCUCAAUUUUCAAUUUCCACUCAUAGAUUUGCAUGUAUUUUAAUUUUAACAAUCAUGUAAACGAAUACAAAUUCUCAUUGUAUAUAUAUUUACACAUUUCUUACUACAUUGCUGCAAAAAAAAUAUAUAUGUACACACA
Molecule: long non-coding RNA, 698 nt
Organism: Wasmannia auropunctata (little fire ant)
Lineage: Eukaryota; Metazoa; Arthropoda; Insecta; Hymenoptera; Formicidae
Exons: 2
Source: RefSeq, a predicted model, not a curated record